AUUGCAUUCAAAUGCAAAUGCAAAUGUAAAUCCGAAUCCGAAUCCGAGUCCGAAUGCAAAGGUAAGCUACAAAAGCGUAAGGAAAACGCUCACAGAUUAGACGGCUUCCUCGAUCCUGGGGCUGGCCUUGUUAGCGGCUUGGACGCUGUGUCCUGCCCAUUCAUGAAUACGCGUUGGACUGAUCUCACUCUGAGCCGAGCCAGUCGGCCCUGGGCUCGUACCAAUCCUAUUAGUGUUCGGCCCUGCCUCAAUGCGCUCUGUUACAGCACAAACAACACAUUAGGACGAAGGGAUUUACACGGACUUUGUCCAAUUUACUGCAGCAAAGUUGUGCCUACCGUGCCGCUGAGUAUGUGCC
This 358-nucleotide long non-coding RNA is filed under the name Drosophila guanche. Lineage: Eukaryota; Metazoa; Arthropoda; Insecta; Diptera; Drosophilidae. The record is from RNAcentral.